Molecule: ribosomal RNA, 681 nt
Filed under: uncultured nitrite-oxidizing bacterium
Lineage: Bacteria
Description: bacterial SSU rRNA
Rfam family: Bacterial small subunit ribosomal RNA
Source: RNAcentral
GGCUCAGAGCGAACGCUGGCGGCGCGCCUAAUACAUGCAAGUCGAGCGAGAAGGUGUAGCAAUACACUUGUAAAGCGGCGAACGGGUGAGGAAUGCAUGGGUAACCUACCCUCGAGUGGGGAAUAACUAGCCGAAAGGUUAGCUAAUACCGCAUACGUUUCCGGGACUUCGGUUCCGGAAAGAAAGCAAUACCGUGGGUAUUGCGCUCAUGGAUGGGCUCAUGUCCUAUCAGCUUGUUGGUGAGGUAACGGCUCACCAAGGCUUCGACGGGUAGCUGGUCUGAGAGGACGAUCAGCCACACUGGCACUGCGACACGGGCCAGACUCCUACGGGAGGCAGCAGUAAGGAAUAUUGCGCAAUGGACGAAAGUCUGACGCAGCGACGCCGCGUGGGGGAUGAAGGUCUUCGGAUUGUAAACCCCUUUCGGGAGGGAAGAUGGAGUGGGUAACCACUUGGACGGUACCUCCAGAAGCAGCCACGGCUAACUUCGUGCCAGCAGCCGCGGUAAUACGAAGGUGGCAAGCGUUGUUCGGAUUCACUGGGCGUACAGGGAGCGUAGGCGGUUGGGUAAGCCCUCCGUGAAAUCUCCGGGCCUAACCCGGAAAGUGCAGAGGGGACUGCUCAGCUAGAGGAUGGGAGAGGAGCGCGGAAUUCCCGGUGUAGCGGUGAAAUGCGUAGAGA